GGAGCGUGAUGAGGAUGAUUCUAAAUUUUCAGAUUUUAAUGAUCGGAAAUCAAUACUUACCUCCUACUCAUUCUGA
RNAcentral lists this small nucleolar RNA (76 nucleotides) under Nelumbo nucifera (sacred lotus). Its description in RNAcentral is "Small nucleolar RNA Z105". It matches the Rfam family "Small nucleolar RNA Z105". Rfam says of the family: This family consists of several snoRNA Z105 sequences which are members of the C/D class of snoRNA which contain the C (UGAUGA) and D (CUGA) box motifs. This family seems to be found exclusively in plants. The record is from Rfam by way of RNAcentral. Lineage: Eukaryota; Viridiplantae; Streptophyta; Magnoliopsida; Proteales; Nelumbonaceae.